CCUACGGGGUGCAGCAGUGGGGAAUAUUGGACAAUGGGCGAAAGCCUGAUCCAGCCAUGCCGCGUGUGUGAAGAAGGCCUUCGGGUUGUAAAGCACUUUCAGUGGGGAAGAAAGCCUUGGGGCUAAUACCCUCGAGGAAGGACAUCACCCACAGAAGAAGCACCGGCUAACUCCGUGCCAGCAGCCGCGGUAAUACGGAGGGUGCGAGCGUUAAUCGGAAUUACUGGGCGUAAAGCGCGCGUAGGCGGUCUGAUAAGCCGGUUGUGAAAGCCCCGGGCUCAACCUGGGAACGGCAUCCGGAACUGUUAGGCUAGAGUGCAGGAGAGGAAGGUAGAAUUCCCGGUGUAGCGGUGAAAUGCGUAGAGAUCGGGAGGAAUACCAGUGGCGAAGGCGGCCUUCUGGACUGACACUGACGCUGAGGUGCGAAAGCGUGGGUAGCAAACAGGAUUAGAUACCCUUGUAGUC
This 465-nucleotide ribosomal RNA is filed under the name Vreelandella stevensii. RNAcentral's name for it is "partial 16S ribosomal RNA". It matches the Rfam family "Bacterial small subunit ribosomal RNA", at positions 338 to 795 of the family's 1533-position model. The record is from RNAcentral. Lineage: Bacteria; Pseudomonadati; Pseudomonadota; Gammaproteobacteria; Oceanospirillales; Halomonadaceae.